Molecule: transfer RNA, 76 nt
Filed under: Clostridiales bacterium
Lineage: Bacteria; Bacillati; Bacillota; Clostridia; Eubacteriales
Description: tRNA-Thr
Rfam family: tRNA
About the family: Transfer RNA (tRNA) molecules are approximately 80 nucleotides in length. Their secondary structure includes four short double-helical elements and three loops (D, anti-codon, and T loops).
Source: RNAcentral
GCCCUAGUAGUUCAGCUGGUAGAACAACGGUUUUGUAAACCGUAUGUCGUAGGUUCGAAUCCUAUCUGGGGCUCCA